AUACGGAGGAUUCGAGCGUUAUCCGGAUUUAUUGGGUUUAAAGGGUGCGCAGGCGGCCAUUUAAGUCCGCGGUUAAAUCGUGGGGCUCAACCCCAUUCUGCCGUUCAUAUUGGGUGGCUUGAUUGCGGUCGAGGUUGGCGGAAUUCGUUGUGUCGCGGUGGAAUGCAUAGAUAUGACGAAGAACACCGAUUGCGUAGGCAGCUGACCAGAUCGCAAAUGACGCUCAUGCACGAAAGUGCGGGGAUCAAACAGGAUUAGAUGCCCUGGUAGUCCACGCAGUAAACGAUGAUGGCUAACCGCUGGGCUUAUCAGUUCAGUGGCCAAGCGAAAGCGAUAAGCCAUCCACCUGGGGAGUACGACCGCAAGGUUGAAACUCAAAUGAAUUGACGGGG
RNAcentral lists this ribosomal RNA (392 nucleotides) under uncultured bacterium. RNAcentral describes it as "partial 16S ribosomal RNA". It matches the Rfam family "Bacterial small subunit ribosomal RNA", at positions 523 to 918 of the family's 1533-position model. The record is from RNAcentral.